GGGUUAGUCGGGACCUAAGCUGAGGCCGAAAGGCGUAGGUGAUGGACAACAGGUUGAUAUUCCUGUACUACCGAUAACCGUUUGAGAGAAGGGAUGACACAGUAGGAUAAGCUAAGCACACUGUUGGGUAUGUGUGCCCAAGCAUUGAGGCAGUCAAAGUAGGCAAAUCCGCUUUGAUAAUGCUGGGAUGUGAUGGGGAGCGAAAUUUAGUAGCGAAGUAGCUGAUUUCACACUGUCAAGAAAAGUCUC
This 249-nucleotide ribosomal RNA is filed under the name Clostridioides difficile. RNAcentral's name for it is "partial 23S ribosomal RNA". It matches the Rfam family "Bacterial large subunit ribosomal RNA", at positions 1377 to 1621 of the family's 2925-position model. The record is from RNAcentral. Lineage: Bacteria; Bacillati; Bacillota; Clostridia; Peptostreptococcales; Peptostreptococcaceae.